Molecule: unclassified non-coding RNA, 323 nt
Filed under: uncultured Aspergillus
Lineage: Eukaryota; Fungi; Ascomycota; Eurotiomycetes; Eurotiales; Aspergillaceae
Description: sequence contains ITS1
Rfam family: 5.8S ribosomal RNA (bases 1-105)
Source: RNAcentral
GAAAUGCGAUAACUAAUGUGAAUUGCAGAAUUCAGUGAAUCAUCGAGUCUUUGAACGCACAUUGCGCCUCCUGGUAUUCCGGGGGGCAUGCCUGUCCGAGCGUCAUUGCUGCCCUCAAGCACGGCUUGUGUUUUGGGCCACCGUCCAGGGAACUUAUGGCCCCUGGGACGGGCCCGAAAGGCGUCGGCGGCACCGUGUCAGGUCCUCGAGCGUAUGGGGCUUUGUCACCCGCUCCCGUAGGUCCAGCCGGCUGCCAGCCUCGCAACCAACCAUUCUUUAACCAGGUUGACCUCGGAUCAGUUAGGGAUACCCGCUGAACUUAA